This 46-nucleotide non-coding RNA is filed under the name Trichobilharzia regenti. The record is from RNAcentral. Lineage: Eukaryota; Metazoa; Platyhelminthes; Trematoda; Strigeidida; Schistosomatidae.
GUACUAAUGAAGAGUCCCAAACUAGGACGAAACGGCUGUCCAGUAC